RNAcentral lists this long non-coding RNA (942 nucleotides) under Olea europaea subsp. europaea. The record is from RNAcentral. Lineage: Eukaryota; Viridiplantae; Streptophyta; Magnoliopsida; Lamiales; Oleaceae.
CUUGAUUUCCCCAAAAUCUUGCCGAAUCUUUAAUUGAAUCUCCUUGUGCUUUAGAUUGUGCCUUCAAAAUACCAAGGGAAAGGAAAAGAAAAGAAAGAAAAAAUGAAAGAGGAAGAAGACAAAGCCCCCAAAACCUAGAAUCCCCUAGAAAAUGACCAAAAUCGCGUCAAGUGAAAUUGUAAAAGAAAUCCCGAAAUUUACGUGAAAUAGACAAAAUUCGCCCAGCCGAAAAGCAAUGCGAGAGCGUGGGCAUUCGUCCCACGCGCUCAUCGUGAAAUCCUUUUGGUCUCAGUAAAUCAAAAAGGUCUCCCAUGCGCGCACACACGCGGGCAUUCUUCAUUUCUUUUCCCAACUUAAUCUUUCAUUUAAUUGUACACAAGGCUCCUCAACUUUGAUCAUGUACAAUCUAGUCCUCAAAACUUGAUUUUCAUAUCACUUUUGCCCUCCAAAAUUGAAACCUUAGGUCCCCAACUUUCGAAACUUGUGCACUUUGGUCUCCAACUUUACAUUUUUGUGCGCUUUUGGUCCUUUUCACUUCCUUUUGUCUCGUUAUCUUUGCUUCGGUUAUUUUUGGCCUACAAAAGCAAAUAUUACAUAAUUGUAAGUAGAAUUCCAUUAAUUUAAUCAAUAAAUAACAUAUUUAGAUAUUAAAUAAGUGCGUAAAAACACAUUUAUCACCUACCUUCGCCAAUUGGUUUUCAGAGUUACUGAAAUUUUGGAAACAGGAGCUUGGAGUUCCGAUGCUACGGAACAAGGUUCGAUUGGAAGAACAAAGUUCAUUCUUGGAAAUCCACAAAAGAUAAACGAUAUCGGGGAUUGGGAGCUAGUGUGAGCAACAAGCAGUCCAAAAGGGCCAAGGUCAUCAUGGAGAAGGUCAAAGGGGAUUAAGAGUUAGUUGGGCCUGGACCAUGCUAUAAGUCUUAUAGUUUAUAAUGGAUUAUU